UCAGCUCAUGUGAGAUUACUCCCUGAAUUUAAGCAUAUUAAUGAGGGAAGGAAAAGAAAUUAACUAAGAUUCCUUUAGUAGCGGCGAGCGAAACAGGAUAAGCCCAGCACUAAGCUCUCCGGUCGUCCUGACUGGUAGAGGAUGCAGUGUAUGGAAAGUCUAUUAUCUUAUGCAACGAUAAUAUGUUCAAGUCCAUCUUGAAUGGGGCCAUUACACCCAUAGAGGGUGCCAGGCCCGUAGCAGCUAUUAUCAGUAUAAGAAGGCUUUUCCAAAGAGUCGUGUUGCUUGAUAGUGCAGCACUAAGUUGGUGGUAAACUCCAUCUAAGGCUAAAUAUGACCACAAGACCGAUAGCGAACAAGUACCGUGAGGGAAAGUUGAAAAGCACUCUGAAUAGAGAGUUAAAUAGUACGUGAAACCGCUUAGGGGUUAAGCCUGAUGAACCCGAAUAUUUGAAAUGAGAAAUUCAUUAUUUUUUAGUAGUUUCCAUUGGAAACGAACAAUGAUAUGCACUUUUCUCAGUGUAAAACAUUGCGAUCUAUUUGUAUAUCCGUAUGGAUGGUUUAUCAAAUGGCCCGUAUGGUUUGUUCAUUCCUAUCUGUGGCAUUUUACAUGUCAUAUGGUUGAUGCCAUAGCGGUGACCUGGUAAACAGCAGAUAGUUUUUAAAAAUCAUGCAACCACAUUUUAUGUGUAUCACGGUUCGCGUACAUUACGUGCGUGGAUGCAGUGAUAGCAUGUAUUUGAUUGGCAAUGCGAUAGAUUUGGGAUACCUUCAGGACCCGUCUUGUAACACGGACCAAGAAGUCUAAC
This 809-nucleotide ribosomal RNA is filed under the name Thalassiosira minuscula. RNAcentral's name for it is "partial Eukaryotic large subunit ribosomal RNA". It matches the Rfam family "Eukaryotic large subunit ribosomal RNA", at positions 1 to 679 of the family's 3401-position model. The record is from RNAcentral. Lineage: Eukaryota; Bacillariophyta; Thalassiosirophyceae; Thalassiosirales; Thalassiosiraceae.